CACGUAGGGGCCAAGCGUUGUCCGGAUUUAUUGGGCGUAAAGAGCGUGUAGGCGGCCAGAAAAGUCCGCUGUGAAAACUCGAGGCUCAACUUCGAGCUGUCGGUGGAAACUUUCUGGCUAGAGUCCGGAAGAGGAGAAUGGAAUUCCUGGUGUAGCGGUGAAAUGCGCAGAUAUCAGGAAGAACACCCGUGGCGAAGGCGGUUCUCUGGGCCGAUACUGACGCUGAGGAGCGAAAGCGUGGGGAGCGAACAGG
This 253-nucleotide ribosomal RNA is filed under the name uncultured bacterium. RNAcentral's name for it is "partial 16S ribosomal RNA". It matches the Rfam family "Bacterial small subunit ribosomal RNA", at positions 524 to 776 of the family's 1533-position model. The record is from RNAcentral.